This 493-nucleotide ribosomal RNA is filed under the name uncultured bacterium. RNAcentral describes it as "partial 16S ribosomal RNA". It matches the Rfam family "Bacterial small subunit ribosomal RNA", at positions 29 to 507 of the family's 1533-position model. The record is from RNAcentral.
ACGCACGCUGGCGGCGUGCUUAACACAUGCAAGUCGAACGGAAAGGCCUGUCCUUCCUUGUGUUGGACGGGUACUCGAGUGGCGAACGGGUGAGUAACACGUGAGUGAUCUGCCCCCAACUUGGGUAUAAGCCUGGGAAACUGGGUCUAAUUCCCGAUAGGACUGCAGGGUGGUGCCUGUGGUGGAAAACGAUUUUCUAGUGGUUGGGGAUGAGCUCGCGGCCUAUCAGCUUGUUGGUGGGGUAAUGGCCUACCAAGGCGGCGACGGGUAGCCGGCCUGAGAGGGUGGACGGCCACAUUGGGACUGAGAUACGGCCCAGACUCCUACGGGAGGCAGCAGUGGGGAAUAUUGCACAAUGGGCGGAAGCCUGAUGCAGCGACGCCGCGUGGGGGAUGACGGCCUUCGGGUUGUAAACUCCUUUCGACCGCGAGGAAGCCGCCUGGUUGGAAGGGUGGUGACGGUAGUGGUAGAAGAAGCACCGGCUAACUACGUG